CAGCCGCCGCGGGAAUACGUAGGGUGCAAGCGUUAAUCGGAAUUACUGGGCGUAAAGCGUGCGCAGGCGGUUUGUUAAGACAGAUGUGAAAUCCCCGGGCUUAACCUGGGAACUGCAUUUGUGACUGGCAAGCUAGAGUAUGGCAGAGGGGGGUGGAAUUCCGCGUGUAGCAGUGAAAUGCGUAGAUAUGCGGAGGAACACCGAUGGCGAAGGCAGCCCCCUGGGCCAAUACUGACGCUCAUGCACGAAAGCGUGGGGAGCAAACAGGAUUAGAUACCCCAGUAGUCCCUGUCUCUUAUAC
RNAcentral lists this ribosomal RNA (301 nucleotides) under uncultured bacterium. Its description in RNAcentral is "partial 16S ribosomal RNA". It matches the Rfam family "Bacterial small subunit ribosomal RNA", at positions 509 to 807 of the family's 1533-position model. The record is from RNAcentral.